AUUGAACGCUGGCGGCAGGCCUAACACAUGCAAGUCGAACGGUAACAGGAAACAGCUUGCUGUUUCGCUGACGAGUGGCGGACGGGUGAGUAAUGUCUGGGAAACUGCCUGAUGGAGGGGGAUAACUACUGGAAACGGUAGCUAAUACCGCAUAACGUCGCAAGACCAAAGAGGGGGACCUUCGGGCCUCUUGCCAUCGGAUGUGCCCAGAUGGGAUUAGCUAGUAGGUGGGGUAACGGCUCACCUAGGCGACGAUCCCUAGCUGGUCUGAGAGGAUGACCAGCCACACUGGAACUGAGACACGGUCCAGACUCCUACGGGAGGCAGCAGUGGGGAAUAUUGCACAAUGGGCGCAAGCCUGAUGCAGCCAUGCCGCGUGUAUGAAGAAGGCCUUCGGGUUGUAAAGUACUUUCAGCGGGGAUGAAGGGAGUAAAGUUAAUACCUUUGCUCAUUGACGUUACCCGCAGAAGAAGCACCGGCUAACUCCGUGCCAGCAGCCGCGGUAAUACGGAGGGUGCAAGCGUUAAUCGGAAUUACUGGGCGUAAAGCGCACGCAGGCGGUUUGUUAAGUCAGAUGUGAAAUCCCCGGGCUCAACCUGGGAACUGCAUCUGAUACUGGCAAGCUUGAGUCUCGUAGAGGGGGGUAGAAUUCCAGGUGUAGCGGUGAAAUGCGUAGAGAUCUGGAGGAAUACCGGUGGCGAAGGCGGCCCCCUGGACGAAGACUGACGCUCAGGUGCGAAAGCGUGGGGAGCAAACAGG
RNAcentral lists this ribosomal RNA (759 nucleotides) under uncultured Enterobacteriaceae bacterium. Its description in RNAcentral is "bacterial SSU rRNA". It matches the Rfam family "Bacterial small subunit ribosomal RNA", at positions 28 to 776 of the family's 1533-position model. Lineage: Bacteria; Pseudomonadati; Pseudomonadota; Gammaproteobacteria; Enterobacterales; Enterobacteriaceae. The record is from RNAcentral.